This is a long non-coding RNA of Brassica rapa (field mustard), 1635 nucleotides long. RefSeq lists it as uncharacterized. The record is from RefSeq and is a predicted model, not a curated record. Lineage: Eukaryota; Viridiplantae; Streptophyta; Magnoliopsida; Brassicales; Brassicaceae.
UAUUUAAAAAAAAUAUUUGUAAUUUGAAAAGUUAACAUCGACAAAUAUUUAAAUAAUUAACAUAAGGAGGUAUAGUAUUAUAAUAUUAAAUUAUAUUUAUUUAAUUUAUACUAUUUGUAAAUUCAAUAUUGAUAGUUCAAUAAAAAUUUCUGGUAGACCCAAAUUUUAAAUGAUACGAUUAGAGAUUAAAUGUAACAUGAAUUUUUAAGAAUAGACUGAUUAGGUCUAUUUUUUAAAAAAUCACAUAUGAAUCAAUGUUGUGAGUUUUGUUUUAAUAUAUAAGAUCCAAAACAUUUUGAAUUUUCUUCCAAUUCAUGUAUCUCUAAGUUUAUAAAUCAUUACAAAAACCACAGAAUAUCAUCUGUUCUCCAUAGAGACCUUCGAUCCACACAAACCUAAACUUUAUUUUCUUCGCCUACGUUCAUGGACGGUAGCGGCGGCUUAUACUGAGAUGACAGAAGGUUUAGGCGGUUUAUACUGAGACGACAGAAGGUUUAGGCGGUGUUUCCUCCACGGCUUCAUCCAUCCUUCGAUUAUGCAUGUUGGUGGCGAGUGUGCUUACGUCAUCGUUUGGUAAAAUUUUCUGACUUAAUUUCAAAAUCGUUUAGCCUAUUUUCUCUUAACCUCCAAUUCAGAAAAUGAAGCGCCUACGUUAAUUGGAUUGGUGAAGACGCCGAAUUUGAUCCGCUGAAAAAUUUCCAUUAAAGCCAUACCUUAUUGUUCCAUACAAAUGAAGUUAGUACAAGUUCACAAUCUCUCCUCAGAAGCAACACAGCAUGAUAUAAAAAAAGUGGAGGAUACUCUCUGAAGCUAUAGCCAAGUGUUGUCCAAAGCUAGAAAGGUAGAGAUAUGGUUGGUCUCAUGAUCCUGACCCGCAUUGUCUCACAUGUGGCUCAUUCUAAACAUGGGAAUGCAUGUUGCUUACGCUGUAAGAACAGAAGAAACUACAUAAGAAAUCUCUUCCACAACUGAGAUUAUUGUGAGGUAAUGAUGACUAUGGAAACACCAAGGGGUUUAGAUUAUGUAGAUAAUCCAGAGAUUGGAAUGAAUGCUACUAGAGAAAGCAAAGAUGCUAUCGAAUAAGAAAUCCAUGGUUUAUGUAUGGUUUUCGUCACAGUAUGUCAUUUAUCACUAUUCAAUCCUUUUCUUAGUUAUAUGACAAUUAUGAGUUUAUUGUGUUCUUUAAGUUCACUGGCUAAAUAGUUCUACUGUUCUAUGCUGGAGAAGUGACCAACAAACACAGACAAGGCUCCGGUAAUAGUAGGUGUUGCAAAGGAAAUGUCUACUACAUUGCUCAUAAAUAAAAAAAAAGUGUCAUUAUUUACUUUACUUUUAAAGACAAAUUAAAGCUGAAUUUACACUUCUUCUAUCAUGAAUAUUUAAAAAACCUUAAUCUAUUGUUUGCUUUACUUUUGAAAUCGAUACUAUUAUUUACGAAGUAAGUUUUUGGAAUCGAGCUCUCACGUUAAAAGUUAGAAUGGUUAAUAUCGUUUAUACCAUUAAUGAAUAAAAUAUAUAACUAAAUUAAAAAAUAAAAAUGAAAUUUUAAUUUAUUUAUUAGAUAAAUGAUUAAAAUUAAUAAUAGUAAGAAUUAUCCAAAAUCUGAAAAUAUAAUUUUAAAAAGAGAUAAUUUAU